RNAcentral lists this ribosomal RNA (237 nucleotides) under uncultured bacterium. Its description in RNAcentral is "partial 16S ribosomal RNA". It matches the Rfam family "Bacterial small subunit ribosomal RNA", at positions 15 to 235 of the family's 1533-position model. The record is from RNAcentral.
GAUCCUGGCUCAGGAUGAACGCUGGCGGCGUGCCUAACACAUGCAAGUCGAACGGAGCUGCUUUGAUGAGAUCUUCGGAUGGAUUUAAAACAGCUUAGUGGCGGACGGGUGAGUAACGCGUGGGUAACCUGCCUCACACUGGGGGAUAACAGUUAGAAAUAGCUGCUAAUACCGCAUAAGCGCACGGUUCCGCAUGGAACAGUGUGAAAACUACCGGUGGUGUGAGAUGGACCCGCG